UUGAACGCUGGCGGGAUGCUUUACACAUGCAAGUCGAGCGGCAGCGCGGGGGCAACCCUGGCGGCGAGCGGCGAACGGGUGAGUAACAUAUCGGAACGUACCCCGUCGUGGGGGAUAACACAGCGAAAGUUGUGCUAAUACCGCAUACGACCUGAGGGUGAAAGCGGGGGACCGUAAGGCCUCGCGCGAUGGGAGCGGCCGAUAUCGGAUUAGCUAGUUGGUGAGGUAAAGGCUCACCAAGGCGACGAUCCGUAGCUGGUCUGAGAGGACGACCAGCCACACUGGAACUGAGACACGGUCCAGACUCCUACGGGAGGCAGCAGUGGGGAAUUUUGGACAAUGGGGGAAACCCUGAUCCAGCCAUUCCGCGUGAGUGAAGAAGGCCUUCGGGUUGUAAAGCUCUUUCAGGAGGGAAGAAACGGUUACGGAUAAUACCUGUGACUAAUGACGGUACCUUCAGAAGAAGCACCGGCUAACUACGU
RNAcentral lists this ribosomal RNA (482 nucleotides) under uncultured bacterium. RNAcentral describes it as "bacterial SSU rRNA". It matches the Rfam family "Bacterial small subunit ribosomal RNA", at positions 29 to 506 of the family's 1533-position model. The record is from RNAcentral.